RNAcentral lists this ribosomal RNA (2922 nucleotides) under Escherichia coli. Its description in RNAcentral is "23S ribosomal RNA". It matches the Rfam family "Bacterial large subunit ribosomal RNA". The record is from RNAcentral. Lineage: Bacteria; Pseudomonadati; Pseudomonadota; Gammaproteobacteria; Enterobacterales; Enterobacteriaceae.
GGGUUGUGAGGUUAAGCGACUAAGCGUACACGGUGGAUGCCCUGGCAGUCAGAGGCGAUGAAGGACGUGCUAAUCUGCGAUAAGCGUCGGUAAGGUGAUAUGAACCGUUAUAACCGGCGAUUUCCGAAUGGGAAACCCAGUGUGUUUCGACACACUAUCAUUAACUGAAUCCAUAGGUUAAUGAGGCGAACCGGGGGAACUGAAACAUCUAAGUACCCCGAGGAAAAGAAAUCAACCGAGAUUCCCCCAGUAGCGGCGAGCGAACGGGGAGCAGCCCAGAGCCUGAAUCAGUGUGUGUGUUAGUGGAAGCGUCUGGAAAGGCGCGCGAUACAGGGUGACAGCCCCGUACACAAAAAUGCACAUGCUGUGAGCUCGAUGAGUAGGGCGGGACACGUGGUAUCCUGUCUGAAUAUGGGGGGACCAUCCUCCAAGGCUAAAUACUCCUGACUGACCGAUAGUGAACCAGUACCGUGAGGGAAAGGCGAAAAGAACCCCGGCGAGGGGAGUGAAAAAGAACCUGAAACCGUGUACGUACAAGCAGUGGGAGCACGCUUAGGCGUGUGACUGCGUACCUUUUGUAUAAUGGGUCAGCGACUUAUAUUCUGUAGCAAGGUUAACCGAAUAGGGGAGCCGAAGGGAAACCGAGUCUUAACUGGGCGUUAAGUUGCAGGGUAUAGACCCGAAACCCGGUGAUCUAGCCAUGGGCAGGUUGAAGGUUGGGUAACACUAACUGGAGGACCGAACCGACUAAUGUUGAAAAAUUAGCGGAUGACUUGUGGCUGGGGGUGAAAGGCCAAUCAAACCGGGAGAUAGCUGGUUCUCCCCGAAAGCUAUUUAGGUAGCGCCUCGUGAAUUCAUCUCCGGGGGUAGAGCACUGUUUCGGCAAGGGGGUCAUCCCGACUUACCAACCCGAUGCAAACUGCGAAUACCGGAGAAUGUUAUCACGGGAGACACACGGCGGGUGCUAACGUCCGUCGUGAAGAGGGAAACAACCCAGACCGCCAGCUAAGGUCCCAAAGUCAUGGUUAAGUGGGAAACGAUGUGGGAAGGCCCAGACAGCCAGGAUGUUGGCUUAGAAGCAGCCAUCAUUUAAAGAAAGCGUAAUAGCUCACUGGUCGAGUCGGCCUGCGCGGAAGAUGUAACGGGGCUAAACCAUGCACCGAAGCUGCGGCAGCGACACUAUGUGUUGUUGGGUAGGGGAGCGUUCUGUAAGCCUGUGAAGGUGUGCUGUGAGGCAUGCUGGAGGUAUCAGAAGUGCGAAUGCUGACAUAAGUAACGAUAAAGCGGGUGAAAAGCCCGCUCGCCGGAAGACCAAGGGUUCCUGUCCAACGUUAAUCGGGGCAGGGUGAGUCGACCCCUAAGGCGAGGCCGAAAGGCGUAGUCGAUGGGAAACAGGUUAAUAUUCCUGUACUUGGUGUUACUGCGAAGGGGGGACGGAGAAGGCUAUGUUGGCCGGGCGACGGUUGUCCCGGUUUAAGCGUGUAGGCUGGUUUUCCAGGCAAAUCCGGAAAAUCAAGGCUGAGGCGUGAUGACGAGGCACUACGGUGCUGAAGCAACGAAUGCCCUGCUUCCAGGAAAAGCCUCUAAGCAUCAGGUAACAUCAAAUCGUACCCCAAACCGACACAGGUGGUCAGGUAGAGAAUACCAAGGCGCUUGAGAGAACUCGGGUGAAGGAACUAGGCAAAAUGGUGCCGUAACUUCGGGAGAAGGCACGCUGAUAUGUAGGUGAAGCGACUUGCUCGUGGAGCUGAAAUCAGUCGAAGAUACCAGCUGGCUGCAACUGUUUAUUAAAAACACAGCACUGUGCAAACACGAAAGUGGACGUAUACGGUGUGACGCCUGCCCGGUGCCGGAAGGUUAAUUGAUGGGGUCAGCGCAAGCGAAGCUCUUGAUCGAAGCCCCGGUAAACGGCGGCCGUAACUAUAACGGUCCUAAGGUAGCGAAAUUCCUUGUCGGGUAAGUUCCGACCUGCACGAAUGGCGUAAUGAUGGCCAGGCUGUCUCCACCCGAGACUCAGUGAAAUUGAACUCGCUGUGAAGAUGCAGUGUACCCGCGGCAAGACGGAAAGACCCCGUGAACCUUUACUAUAGCUUGACACUGAACAUUGAGCCUUGAUGUGUAGGAUAGGUGGGAGGCUUUGAAGUGUGGACGCCAGUCUGCAUGGAGCCGACCUUGAAAUACCACCCUUUAAUGUUUGAUGUUCUAACGUUGACCCGUAAUCCGGGUUGCGGACAGUGUCUGGUGGGUAGUUUGACUGGGGCGGUCUCCUCCUAAAGAGUAACGGAGGAGCACGAAGGUUGGCUAAUCUGGUCGGACAUCAGGAGGUUAGUGCAAUGGCAUAAGCCAGCUUGACUGCGAGCGUGACGGCGCGAGCAGGUGCGAAAGCAGGUCAUAGUGAUCCGGUGGUUCUGAAUGGAAGGGCCAUCGCUCAACGGAUAAAAGGUACUCCGGGGAUAACAGGCUGAUACCGCCCAAGAGUUCAUAUCGACGGCGGUGUUUGGCACCUCGAUGUCGGCUCAUCACAUCCUGGGGCUGAAGUAGGUCCCAAGGGUAUGGCUGUUCGCCAUUUAAAGUGGUACGCGAGCUGGGUUUAGAACGUCGUGAGACAGUUCGGUCCCUAUCUGCCGUGGGCGCUGGAGAACUGAGGGGGGCUGCUCCUAGUACGAGAGGACCGGAGUGGACGCAUCACUGGUGUUCGGGUUGUCAUGCCAAUGGCACUGCCCGGUAGCUAAAUGCGGAAGAGAUAAGUGCUGAAAGCAUCUAAGCACGAAACUUGCCCCGAGAUGAGUUCUCCCUGACUCCUUGAGAGUCCUGAAGGAACGUUGAAGACGACGACGUUGAUAGGCCGGGUGUGUAAGCGCAGCGAUGCGUUGAGCUAACCGGUACUAAUGAACCGUGAGGCUUAACCUUACAACGCCGAAG